AGUGAACGCUGGCGGUAUGCCUAACACAUGCAAGUCGAACGGCAGCACAGUAAUAGCUUGCUCGUACGGGUGGCGAGUGGCGGACGGUUGAGGAAUACAUCGGAAUCUACUUUUUCGUGGGGGAUAACGUAGGGAAACUUACGCUAAUACCGCAUACGACCUACGGGUGAAAGCAGGGGAUCUUCGGACCUUGCGCGAUUGAAUGAGCCGAUGUCGGAUUAGCUAGUUGGCGGGGUAAAGGCCCACCAAGGCGACGAUCCGUAGCUGGUCUGAGAGGAUGACCAGCCACACUGGAACUGAGGCACGGUCCAGACUCCUACGGGAGGCAGCAGUGGGGAAUAUUGGACAAUGGGCGAAAGCCUGAUCCAGCAAUGCCGCGUGGGUGAAGAAGGCCUUCGGGUUGUAAAGCACUUUUGUUGGGAAAGAAAAGCAGCAGGUUAAUACCCCGCUGUGCUGACGGUACCCAAAGAAUAAGCACCGGCUAACUUCGUG
Molecule: ribosomal RNA, 492 nt
Filed under: uncultured bacterium
Lineage: Bacteria
Description: partial 16S ribosomal RNA
Rfam family: Bacterial small subunit ribosomal RNA
Source: RNAcentral